RNAcentral lists this ribosomal RNA (898 nucleotides) under Bacillus aerophilus. RNAcentral describes it as "bacterial SSU rRNA". It matches the Rfam family "Bacterial small subunit ribosomal RNA", at positions 59 to 935 of the family's 1533-position model. The record is from RNAcentral. Lineage: Bacteria; Bacillati; Bacillota; Bacilli; Caryophanales; Bacillaceae.
AAGUCGAGCGGACAGAAGGGAGCUUGCUCCCGGAUGUUAGCGGCGGACGGGUGAGUAACACGUGGGUAACCUGCCUGUAAGACUGGGAUAACUCCGGGAAACCGGAGCUAAUACCGGAUAGUUCCUUGAACCGCAUGGUUCAAGGAUGAAAGACGGUUUCGGCUGUCACUUACAGAUGGACCCGCGGCGCAUUAGCUAGUUGGUGAGGUAACGGCUCACCAAGGCGACGAUGCGUAGCCGACCUGAGAGGGUGAUCGGCCACACUGGGACUGAGACACGGCCCAGACUCCUACGGGAGGCAGCAGUAGGGAAUCUUCCGCAAUGGACGAAAGUCUGACGGAGCAACGCCGCGUGAGUGAUGAAGGUUUUCGGAUCGUAAAGCUCUGUUGUUAGGGAAGAACAAGUGCAAGAGUAACUGCUUGCACCUUGACGGUACCUAACCAGAAAGCCACGGCUAACUACGUGCCAGCAGCCGCGGUAAUACGUAGGUGGCAAGCGUUGUCCGGAAUUAUUGGGCGUAAAGGGCUCGCAGGCGGUUUCUUAAGUCUGAUGUGAAAGCCCCCGGCUCAACCGGGGAGGGUCAUUGGAAACUGGGAAACUUGAGUGCAGAAGAGGAGAGUGGAAUUCCACGUGUAGCGGUGAAAUGCGUAGAGAUGUGGAGGAACACCAGUGGCGAAGGCGACUCUCUGGUCUGUAACUGACGCUGAGGAGCGAAAGCGUGGGGAGCGAACAGGAUUAGAUACCCUGGUAGUCCACGCCGUAAACGAUGAGUGCUAAGUGUUAGGGGGUUUCCGCCCCUUAGUGCUGCAGCUAACGCAUUAAGCACUCCGCCUGGGGGGAGUACGGUCGCAAGACUGAAACUCAAAGGAAUUGACGGGGGGCCCCGCACAAGCGGUGG